Molecule: long non-coding RNA, 286 nt
Organism: Arachis stenosperma
Lineage: Eukaryota; Viridiplantae; Streptophyta; Magnoliopsida; Fabales; Fabaceae
Exons: 3
Source: RefSeq, a predicted model, not a curated record
AUUUUAUCAUUUUGGCCGAAAAUAACAAGAGAGAAAAGAGAGAAACUUUCAUGAACACUUAAUCUUCAAAGCUUGAUUUCUUCUGAACCAAAACUCAAAUCAAAACUCCGAUUUCACCAAAAUGAUCCUCUCUUCUUCCUCUACAUAACCAUGUGACUUAUCAAGGCUGGAAAUAAGGAAUCAUGCUUAACUUGACUUGAGGGUCAAGAAACGUUAAUUUCCAGCAAGUCUAAGGAAGAAAAAGUGCUUAAGGACCACCUGAAAGAGUAACCGGAUUUGAAGCAGC